UGCAGUCGAGCGAAUGGAUUGAGAGCUUGCUCUCAAGAAGUUAGCGGCGGACGGGUGAGUAACACGUGGGUAACCUGCCCAUAAGACUGGGAUAACUCCGGGAAACCGGGGCUAAUACCGGAUAAUAUUUUGAACUGCAUGGUUCGAAAUUGAAAGGCGGCUUCGGCUGUCACUUAUGGAUGGACCCGCGUCGCAUUAGCUAGUUGGUGAGGUAACGGCUCACCAAGGCAACGAUGCGUAGCCGACCUGAGAGGGUGAUCGGCCACACUGGGACUGAGACACGGCCCAGACUCCUACGGGAGGCAGCAGUAGGGAAUCUUCCGCAAUGGACGAAAGUCUGACGGAGCAACGCCGCGUGAGUGAUGAAGGCUUUCGGGUCGUAAAACUCUGUUGUUAGGGAAGAACAAGUGCUAGUUGAAUAAGCUGGCACCUUGACGGUACCUAACCAGAAAGCCACGGCUAACUACGUGCCAGCAGCCGCGGUAAUACGUAGGUGGCAAGCGUUAUCCGGAAUUAUUGGGCGUAAAGCGCGCGCAGGUGGUUUCUUAAGUCUGAUGUGAAAGCCCACGGCUCAACCGUGGAGGGUCAUUGGAAACUGGGAGACUUGAGUGCAGAAGAGGAAAGUGGAAUUCCAUGUGUAGCGGUGAAAUGCGUAGAGAUAUGGAGGAACACCAGUGGCGAAGGCGACUUUCUGGUCUGUAACUGACACUGAGGCGCGAAAGCGUGGGGAGC
Molecule: ribosomal RNA, 732 nt
Filed under: Bacillus thuringiensis
Lineage: Bacteria; Bacillati; Bacillota; Bacilli; Caryophanales; Bacillaceae
Description: bacterial SSU rRNA
Rfam family: Bacterial small subunit ribosomal RNA
Source: RNAcentral